This is a long non-coding RNA of Rhinopithecus bieti (black snub-nosed monkey), 1556 nucleotides long. The record is from Ensembl. Lineage: Eukaryota; Metazoa; Chordata; Mammalia; Primates; Cercopithecidae.
AUGUUAUUUCUGUUGCUCAUGGCUUGAUAAAGUCAUCAUUUCCUUUAUUGUUCCCUUAACAGGUAACACCAUGUUGUUGAGAGUGUUACCUGCUGUGUAUGAAAAGCAGCCUCAGCCAAUUAAUAGACACCUGACAGAACUCCUGGCCUUGAUGUCUCAGCUGGAACAGCCAGAACAGUACCAUCUACUACGGCUUUUGCAUGUAGCAGCAAAGAAAAAACAACUCGAGCUUUCAUGGUGGUUGGAGGAAAUGUACUAUUCCCAAUGAGGAAAUAACACAUCGAAACUUGACUUAUGAAUAGCAACACUGAAGCAUUAUUUUAAACUUCACUCUUCAACAGUAAGGCACAGAUUAAAAGAAAAAGGAACUGAAGGCUCUGAAGAUUUUAUUGUAAAUUUUAAAUUCUAAACUUGGGAGAUUUGCCUGAGUACCAGUGACGGUAGUUCAGAAGUGUAUUCCUUUCCUAAUUGGGCAUUUGAAGGAUUCAACCCAUAAUGACAUCACCCUAAACAUCCUAAUAGAGAUAGCAGGCUAUGAGCCAGUGGCUUUGAAUGGUUUUCUUCCAAUGCUGAAAGAAGUUGGUGAGAGAUUCCCCUACCUCAUUGGACAGAUGGCAAGGAUUUAUGGAGCUGUUGGGCAUGUGGAUGAAGAGAGAGCCAGGAGCUGCCUGACAUACCUGGUGAGCCAACUGGCCAACAUGGAGCAUUCGUUUCACCAUAUUCUCCUGCUGGAGAUUAAAGGCAUCACCGACACCUUCUCCUCAAUCUUGGGCCCUCAGAGCAGAGACAUCUUCCGCAUGAGCAACAGCUUCACUGCCAUUGCUAAACUCCUUACCCGACAACUGGAAAAUGCGAAGGCUGGAAGUGGCAGGAGACAAAUCAGCACUGAAAUUGAAUUCCCUGAGAAACUGGAAGAAACCAAGCUCAUAGUAGCUGAAAAUGAAGACCAUGAAAAACUUCAAGUUAAAAUCCAGGCUUUUGAAGACAAGAUAAAUGCAGAGAGCAAUACCCCUGGCUCUAUCAGAAGAUAUAGUCUGGGCCAAGUUUCUAAAGAAGAAAGAAAAAACAUUAGAUUUAACAGGUCAAAAAGUUUGGCUUUGCACACCAUGCUCACAAAGGGUGUGGGUUCAGAUGAUGGUGAAGAUGAAAACAGGGGAGAUAUACUAGCCAGCAUCUCUCUUUCAGAAAUAGACCCACUUAGCCAAGGAAAUGACAAGCUGCCCUUCAAGACAGACACUGACAGAUCACAGCUGGGAGAGUCUUCAGUUUCAUACCCAAAUAUUAUACAUAAAGACUCAGAGAAUUUGCCAGAAACUGUUAAAGAAAACUUCCAGGAAGAAACUCCAGAGACAACUGCAAGUCCUAUAGAAUACCAAGAUAAGCUCUACUUGCACUUAAAACAAAACCUCAGCAAAGUGAAAGCAUAUGCCAUGGAAAUUGGAAAGAAGAUUCCAGUCCCUGAUCAGUGUACCAUUGAAGGUAAGUGUUGUGUACUUCCCAAACCGGGGAAACUUCAGGAGUCACUGCAAAUAAACAAACAAAAAGCUCAAAUCAUG